CGGAGGAUCCAAGCGUUAUCCGGAAUCAUUGGGUUUAAAGGGUCCGUAGGCGGUCUAGUAAGUCAGUGGUGAAAGCCCAUCGCUCAACGGUGGAACGGCCAUUGAUACUGCUGGACUUGAAUUAUUAGGAAGUAACUAGAAUAUGUAGUGUAGCGGUGAAAUGCUUAGAGAUUACAUGGAAUACCAAUUGCGAAGGCAGGUUACUACUAAUGGAUUGACGCUGAUGGACGAAAGCGUGGGUAGCGAACAGGAUUAGAUACCCUGGUAGUCCACGCCGUAAACGAUGGAUACUAGCUGUUGGAAGCAAUUUCAGUGGCUAAGCGAAAGUGAUAAGUAUCCCACCUGGGGAGUACGUUCGCAAGAAUG
This 366-nucleotide ribosomal RNA is filed under the name uncultured organism. Its description in RNAcentral is "bacterial SSU rRNA". It matches the Rfam family "Bacterial small subunit ribosomal RNA", at positions 526 to 896 of the family's 1533-position model. The record is from RNAcentral.